AUGUACUCCCGUACACGCCGGUUCCUCCGCGUUGCCGGCACCCACCUGACGACUGCUCGCUAUGUUUUGUUAGCA
RNAcentral lists this small RNA (75 nucleotides) under Xanthomonas campestris. RNAcentral's name for it is "sX9 sRNA". It matches the Rfam family "Xanthomonas sRNA sX9". RNAcentral also lists the same sequence under 3 other names. The record is from RNAcentral. Lineage: Bacteria; Pseudomonadati; Pseudomonadota; Gammaproteobacteria; Lysobacterales; Lysobacteraceae.